UAGCGUAUAUUAAAGUUGUUGCAGUUAAAAAGCUCGUAGUCGGAUUUCAGGGCGGGGCUGCCGGUCUGCCGAUGGGUAUGCACUGGUGGGCUCGUUCUUCCUUCUGGGGACUGCGCCUACUCUUGACUGAGCGGGCGUAGGAAACAGGACUUUUACUUUGAAAAAAUCAGAGUGUUUAAAGCAGGCCAAGAUGCUCUUGCAUGUUAUAGCAUGGGAUAAUGGAAUAGGACUUUGGUGCUAUUUUGUUGGUUUCGAACACCGAAGUAAUGAUUAAUAGGGACAGUCAGGGGCACUCGUAUUCCGUUGAGAGAGGUGAAAUUCUUAGACCAAUGGAAGACGAACCACUGCGAAAGCAUUUG
This 359-nucleotide ribosomal RNA is filed under the name Haptophyta environmental samples. Its description in RNAcentral is "SSU rRNA". It matches the Rfam family "Eukaryotic small subunit ribosomal RNA", at positions 595 to 957 of the family's 1831-position model. The record is from RNAcentral. Lineage: Eukaryota; Haptophyta.